RNAcentral lists this ribosomal RNA (465 nucleotides) under uncultured bacterium. Its description in RNAcentral is "partial 16S ribosomal RNA". It matches the Rfam family "Bacterial small subunit ribosomal RNA", at positions 28 to 507 of the family's 1533-position model. The record is from RNAcentral.
GACGAACGCUGGCGGCGUGCUUAACACAUGCAAGUCGAACGGAAAGGCCCUGCUUGCAGGGUACUCGAGUGGCGAACGGGUGAGUAACACGUGGGUGAUCUGCCCUGCACUUCGGGAUAAGCCUGGGAAACUGGGUCUAAUACCGGAUAGGAGCCAUUUUUAGUGUGAUGGUUGGAAAGUUUUUUCGGUGUAGGAUGAGCUCGCGGCCUAUCAGCUUGUUGGUGGGGUAAUGGCCUACCAAGGCGGCGACGGGUAGCCGGCUUGAGAGGGUGGACGGCCACAUUGGGACUGAGAUACGGCCCAGACUCCUACGGGAGGCAGCAGUGGGGAAUAUUGCACAAUGGGCGCAAGCCUGAUGCAGCGACGCCGCGUGGGGGAUGACGGCCUUCGGGUUGUAAACUCCUUUCGCUAGGGACGAAGCUUUUUGUGACGGUACCUAGAUAAGAAGCACCGGCUAACUACGUG